This 621-nucleotide ribosomal RNA is filed under the name uncultured bacterium. Its description in RNAcentral is "bacterial SSU rRNA". It matches the Rfam family "Bacterial small subunit ribosomal RNA", at positions 54 to 670 of the family's 1533-position model. The record is from RNAcentral.
CAUGCAAGUCGAACGGAAACAGGACCUAGCUUGCUAGGUUGCUGUCGAGUGGCGAACGGGUGAGUAACGCGUAGGCACCUAUCCUGAAGCGGGGGACAACUCGAGGAAACUCGAGCUAAUACCGCAUAAUACCUGAGGGUUAAAGAUGGCUAUUUAUAAGCUAUCACUUUGGGCGGGGCCUGCGUUCGAUUAGCUAGUUGGUGGGGUAAAGGCCUACCAAGGCGACGAUCGAUAGCUGGACUGAGAGGUCGGCCAGCCACACUGGGACUGAGACGGCCCAGACUCCUACGGGAGGCAGCAGUGGGGAAUAUUGGACAAUGGGGGCAACCCUGAUCCAGCAAUGCCGCGUGUGUGAAGAAGGCCUGCGGGUUGUAAAGCACUUUCAUUGGCGAGGAAAGGUUCGUGGUGAAUACCCGCGAACUGUGACGUUAACCAAAGAAGAAGCACCGGCUAACUCUGUGCCAGCAGCCGCGGUAAUACAGAGGGUGCAAGCGUUAAUCGGAAUUACUGGGCGUAAAGGGCGUGUAGGUGGUUUGAUAAGUUGGCUGUGAAAGCCCCGGGCUCAACCUGGGAGGGUCAGCCAAAACUAUCAGACUAGAGUACGGUAGGUAGUGGAAUUUC